AGAGUUUGAUCAUGGCUCAGAUUGAACGCUGGCGGCAUGCUUUACACAUGCAAGUCGAGCGGCAGCGCGGGGGCAACCCUGGCGGCGAGCGGCGAACGGGUGAGUAACACAUCGGAACGUGCCCGUAGUGGGGGAUAGCCCGGCGAAAGCCGGAUUAAUACCGCAUAUGCUCUACGGAGGAAAGCGGGGGAUUCGCAAGAACCUCGCGCUAUGGGAGCGGCCGAUGUCCGAUUAGCUUGUUGGUGAGGUAAAGGCUCACCAAGGCGACGAUCGGUAGCUGGUCUGAGAGGAUGAUCAGCCACACUGGGACUGAGACACGGCCCAGACUCCUACGGGAGGCAGCAGUGGGGAAUUUUGGACAAUGGGGGCAACCCUGAUCCAGCCAUGCCGCGUGAGUGAAGAAGGCCUUCGGGUUGUAAAGCUCUUUUGGCCGGAAAGAAAAGAUCUCGUCUAAUAAACGAGGUUCUUGACGGUACCGGCAGAAUAAGCACCGGCUAACUACGUGCCAGCAGCCGCGGUAAUACGUAGGGUGCGAGCGUUAAUCGGAAUUACUGGGCGUAAAGAGUGCGUAGGCGGUUCUUUGUGUCCGCUGUGAAAUCCCCGGGCUUAACCUGGGAAUGGCAGUGGAAACUAGAGGACUUGAAUCCGGCAGAGGGGGGUGGAAUGCCACGUGUAGCAGUGAAAUGCGUAGAUAUGUGGCGGAACACCGAUGGCGAAGGCACCCCCUGGGCUGAGAUUGACGCUCAGGCACGAAAGCGUGGGGAGCAAACAGGAUUAGAUACCCUAGUAGUCC
This 793-nucleotide ribosomal RNA is filed under the name uncultured bacterium. RNAcentral describes it as "bacterial SSU rRNA". It matches the Rfam family "Bacterial small subunit ribosomal RNA", at positions 8 to 796 of the family's 1533-position model. The record is from RNAcentral.